Long non-coding RNA from Metopolophium dirhodum (rose-grain aphid), 1750 nucleotides. RefSeq lists it as uncharacterized. The transcript has 10 exons. NCBI's taxonomy places the organism in Eukaryota, Metazoa, Arthropoda, Insecta, Hemiptera, Aphididae. The record is from RefSeq and is a predicted model, not a curated record.
UUUAUCACAAAAAAAAGUUCCGUCAGUAUUGUCCAGUAUUUUAAUUAUUUACUAUGUAUAAGUACUCAAUAAAUAAUAAUAAUUUUUAAACAAUUAUAUUAUAUGUAAUAUUGUCUUUCACAUAUCAGUUAUCCAUAUAAAUCCAUUUCCAAAUUUGAAAAUGAAAUGAAACUAUAUUGUGUGAACAAAAAAAUAAUAGGCCACAAAUAUAAACGGACAGUUCGCUAAGCCGGAUAAGUUGUAACACAAACUCGUAAAUGUCGUUUGAUCAGGUUAUUUUCAUAAAAUAUUUCGAUACUUUCAAGUUUUAGCUCAUCGGAGUGAGAUGGUUAGAUGAAGAUGGAUGAAGAUAGCUGUUUCUUCGGCGAUGGCGGCACUCUAGCUACGUUUCACCGAAAGAGUAGAUGUUUACGAUUCUGGCUGUAUUCUGGAGCGUUUCGUCAUGGGCGUCGCAGUUCACACACGUCACGGAUUCCGCCGAAGGAGUCGAUGAUUAAAACUGAACUUUUGGAUCGGCUAUAUGAAGACGCGCGCUGCAUUUUCCUUGACGGAGACGCACAGCUCUGACACUAGACAAUAUUAUACACUCAAAGGGACCGCGUUUCGCCGGAAGAAUAAAUAAAUACAUCAUAAAGAUACUAGUAUUGUAUACUAGAUAAGUUUCAAUUAUCGAGAUGUAGAGAGAGAUGGAGAUGGAGCGAGAUGUAGACGGAUGAAGAUAGCUGUUUCUUCGACGACAGCGUGUGUUGCAGUACAGCUAGGUUUCACUGGAAGAGUCGAUGUUUAUGCAAAUGGUAUUCGUCAGUGAACAUUUUCAAACUGGGAAUAAUAUAUCAUAAGCAGAUUGAAAUGUGUGAACGUUUCAGUGUUUCGAAGACUAAGUUUCGUAGCAGAUUUUGAUUCCGUCACGGGGUACCUCAACUCGACGUUGCUGUAUGUCCGGUCCAAUAAUAACAAUGGCGUAUCAGACGUAGCUCCCAAACCGGUCGACAUCCAUCUGCAUAACUCAUUCCGCAAGAAUGAGCGGUAUAGUUUGAAAACUUCCCAAAGUUAUCUGGUGGAUGUCGAUACGUUGGUGAGCAGCCGUCGCACAUAGGUCUGAUGUACCUAUGGAAAGUUAUUAUUGGAUCGGUCAUAAUAUUACGUUGAGAAGUUAUCUGUCCAUAAACUUAUUUUCAGAUUUGUAGGCCAAUUCCGUUGCCAUUUUUUAAUUAUUCUUUGUUUUUAUUAAGGUUGAGGUGUAACAGCAUUUUAGGGGCUAUUGUAAUUCCCACUUCCAGGACUUUAUCAUACAUACAGCCGACAGCCCGAUGACCUACAUUUUUGUGUAUUCUGGUCUACCCUAUGAUGGCCGCGAAGUAACGAUCACGUCACCGUUUAUCAGAUUGCCCAGUUUGAAAGUGUCUCCAACCAUUUCAUCGGAUAGGUACGCCAUAAACCGUGGCAUAGCGCUGGCACACCAGCAUCAUUUUGUCCGGAUCAAUAUCUACAAAAAUGACGUCCCAAUUAUUAGAAGCUAAUAAUAUAGUGUCUUUGUCGAACAGUCAGCUGUACGAAGUUUCCGCUGUGCCACAAAACGGGUCGAUGCCGGUCGCUGAACAUGGGAAGUCCUCAAGUCCACCCAGCAUCGUAUUGAUAAAUCAACAAUACAUCUUACAUCUUACAUCUAUCAUUGCAAUCUUAUAAUUAUUCACCUGAAUGCAUGUAAUCCUGAAUGUACAGUUAAUUUAUUACUACCCAUCUACAAAGU